UUCACUCCUGCAAAAUUACAAUCAACCUCUUUCAGAGCUGGCCUAAGCUCUUACCUCCUGGAAAUUGCUUUCCUAGUAACUAGGCUUUCAGAUCCCCAUCCCCCAACCCCCAAUACAUUAUUAUGCAGUCACAGCUUUUGUUCUGAGUUCCGCGCCUGGUUCUCUCUUUGCAUUGUAACCUCUUUGGGGAGAAGGAAUGUGCACUGGCUCCACUGUGUGUCUCUCUACAGCUCCUUAGUAUAGUGAUGGCCAAAAAUACUCUUAAAAUGCUUAAUGAAUUAACAAAAUUAGAUGUUCUCUCGCAUAAUAGGGCAUUGUGGAAAUGAUGUGUAGUGGUUUCCCUUGUUUCCACAGUCCCUAUAUUGGGAGAAACGUCAAUUUGCUUUUUUUUUCUAAGGCUCACCUGCCCACACUUCAGAACUUUCUGAAUUCUCAGACUUUAUACCGAUGGCAGACCCCAGCUCCACUCAUCCAAAGCUUUCCAUUUUGGUCAGUUUGAAUCCCUAUGAGGCAACUGCUUUCAGAAGGCACUUUCAGCCUCCUGUGUUUGAAAUUCUGGGAGCACUCUGCACUGUGGCAUGGAAAGACAUGGAACUCCUCCUCCUCCACUUCCUAUGAUUCUGAUGGGCUACAAUUCCAAGGGCCUCACUCAUCUGGCCAUAGCUGAAUGAUGGUAGAGAGGAUUCCUUCUGCAGAAGUUGCUAGCUUAGGAUGUAACAUGGAGUCACACAUGAUAAUUUUCUGAAACCUCAUGGAGUCUGUCUUAUAUUAGGAGAAAACUAACAAAUGGGAGCAGGGUGGAGACAGAGAAAAUAAACGUUGCCAAUAUUGG
Long non-coding RNA from Leopardus geoffroyi (Geoffroy's cat), 832 nucleotides. RefSeq lists it as uncharacterized. The transcript is spliced from 4 exons. Lineage: Eukaryota; Metazoa; Chordata; Mammalia; Carnivora; Felidae. The record is from RefSeq and is a predicted model, not a curated record.